RNAcentral lists this long non-coding RNA (1537 nucleotides) under Equus asinus (donkey). RNAcentral's name for it is "lncRNA (ENSEASG00005024425.1)". Lineage: Eukaryota; Metazoa; Chordata; Mammalia; Perissodactyla; Equidae. The record is from RNAcentral.
GUAAUGGACCGCGUUCCUGCUCGUCUCCGCCCUCUACACGUGUGGGCUUCCGUGGUAAGCCCAACAUCCUCUUCAUUCAGGACCUGGCAGAAGAGUCUGAGAAACUACUUAUUACCAUGAGGACGUGGUUGAUGGCGAUUGACAACCCUGCCCACCUGCAUAAACCUUGCCCCUAUUAACACCAGGGGAAAAACCUGUGGGGAGGCCCAUUCUCACUCAUCGCAGCGCGUCUCCAAAGCUACUAGCGGACCACCCUCUAUUCCCUAACCCUUGGGGAAGACCGCCAGGAGCCCCAUCACCCCAUCCAACAGUGCCAGCUCUGUGCUUGUACGCCGCCUGUUUCUUCUACACUCAUCCUCUGGCUGGUGGAGGCAGCAAAUUCCUCCGCAUCUUUGUGAAUGAGACACCCAGGGGCUGAAUAUCAAGGAACAAAUGCAUUAAUCACGGCAGAGCCUGCGUGCCAAGGCGCAUAAAGACCACUGCUCCCAGCAGCGGCGAUAGCGUGAACCUUUCCACAGACCACACGCUCCGAAGUCGCUCUCUGAAGUCUUAUUACUGACAGCUAGUGGUCAAAGCUGACAUCUGUCAGAUGGCCGUGUCAUUUGGUGGUGAUCAUGAUUGUAGCAGGAAGAGGGAUUUUUCAUCAGAUUUUUUGACUUUAAAAUCUGGAUUACAUUGGAAACUCAACAUGCUUACAGGUUGUCACUCUGAUGAUGUUCCUUGUAAUGAAUGACAUUCAACUGCCGAUGAGUUCUUGAGACCAGAGACUAUUUUGGUACUCCUAGUGCAGGCCAGGCAUAGAGUAAGAAUUCAAAAUGUUUGCUGGCUUGAAUUAAAUUGAUGUUGGGCCACUAGCAGGUUGUGAGUUCUCCCACCUAUGUGAUGGUAACAGAUGUUCGUGCCAAGUGGACUCAUAACAAACAGGACUCCUGUCUCCACCAGUGAACUAGAAGAAGAAUGGCGUCAGAUGGGGUCGUCAGAAUGGUCCAAAAGUAAUUCCAAUUUGCUAGUGACAACACGAAAUGUUAGGUUCAUUUGUUUAUAUAAAGCUUUGCCAACUAUCAAUUUAACACCCAGAGCAUACAAAAUAAUGGCUACGUGUAUCUGGACAGAAGUUCCACUCGGCUGCUAAGUGUUUUGACACUGCAACCAGGAGCGGCUAAGGAGUUCAUAGGGCCUUUUGUCCGGACAAAGUUUGAGAACCCAGGAUUCCAGUUCUAGUAGCAGCUCUUCAACCAACCGCUGUAGGGCCGUGGGAAAGUCACGCAAUCUCCUUAUCACUCAUACCUGUCCCAUGAGGGGCUUCUCUGGGAUUACCAUUCUCAUUUCAAAAAUGGAGAAAGCCAGGUCAUUAUGAAGCGAUUUACCGUGCCCAGAAUCCUCUGCUGAACAGAGAAAUAGGGCUUGGGCCUUGGAGACAAGGCAGCCAUUUUUCAAAUUUAAUUUUCAAGUAAGUAAUAUAUUCACAUUGUUCAAAAGUUCUAUAUGUAGUGUAAAAAGACACUUCACCAAAGAGAAUAUAAGAAUGUCAAAUAAG